UAGAAACCGCUUCACAUAAUACUAUUAGGGGCAAAAGAGGCGCGUACCCAGCACCUUCUCCCUCGUCCCCCGACGCUGUAGCUUCAAGAAAAUUGCGCGUUUUUCAAAUCCCUCUCCAACUGAGAAUCUCACUUUUGUCCUUCAUCACUCAUCACACAAGUUUUCCAUCCACCUUAUAAAUACCCUAAUCAAUGGAAGGCAUGGAGAAUGAAGGUUAGGGUUGUAAGGAUUCCUCAUCUCAAUUCUUGGUAAAGUUCCAUCUUCUCCAUGCUUAUUUUUUCUACCCAUAACUUUUAUGCAUGAUAAACAUUUUUCCCUUCUCAUUUCACGCACUUGAAAUAUUUGUUCUUUUUGCAAAUUUAUAUGCCAGAUUGUUAAAAUUUGUGAGUUGUUAUCCCAGUAUCAAUUUUAGUUAAACUACUUGAUUUAUCAAUUUUAGUUAAACUACUUGAUUUUGGGUGUGGGUAGUAGUGGGGAUAGAAAUAGAAUUAGUAAUUGAGAUAAAAUGCAUUGCAGGUGUUUGAUAAAAUGCCCAUGUGGAAAAUUGUGGUAGCUACAAUAGAACUAUAAGUCAUGGACUUAAUUUUGAAUGUCUUUAUCUGUGGCCUUUAUAAUAUGCAUCAUUUUAACAAUAUUAGACAGGUUUUUUCAGAUAUAAUCUUCUAACUAUACAUACAGUUUUCUUUGUGUGCAUAAAAAAUCUCUGGCAAAUACUAUAUUCUAAAGGUUUGUACACAAUUUCAUAUCAGUUUUGCCAUAGGUGGGUCAUUAUUUUCCACAAUUCUGUUAGCUAAAUUAAAUUUGAAGUAUUGAUUCAAUUAUGAGUUAUUUGGAAUGGUUGAUACAUUGAUAGAUGAUUAUAUAAGUUUGAUUCACUAGGCGACGAGAUUCAAUGGACAACUUUAGAAGACAAUUGUGAGUUGUGGAAGAUCCCAUGAUUGUUCCAGCUAUUGCAACAGGAAAUAAUGGCAGAAAGUUUGGUAUGAGAGAUGAAAAUUGCUUGACUACAUAUAUGUAUGUAAGGAGCUAAAAGUAAUGGAAAGAAGAAAAAUUAUAGCUUUCGGGGAUUUUGGUCAUCGAGCAUUUCACAAAGGAGUUUGGAGCUUUUGUCAUUCUCGUAGUUAAUGCCUUAGACUCAAUGAAAUGUGUGGCUGCUGUAAAAAGGAAAGGAGAAGUGCAAGAAGAGGAUAUUUGCAUGAAGUUUCUUACUUCCUUUUCAUUGAUGAAGAAAGAGGUGAGUGAAGAUCCAUUCAUCUUGCUUCUUGCAAAGGUAGUAGAAGUUUUAUGUAUUUUGAUUGUCUUAAUUUAAUUUUUUUCCCGGUUGAUUUGGAAGAAGCUGAAUACAUAGUGUUCAAGUACAUAUGGUGAAUAGAGGAGGAAUAGAGAAAUACAACUUAUGAUAUGAGGUUGGGACUUGGAAAUUUGUAAGAAUGUGACAAAUUAACUAUAUCUUUAUGAAUUGUUGAUGUCAAACAUGAAUACAAGAUUGAUCAAGUAGUUGGUACUUAGAGAAAAUUUGUCUCAAUGAUGAAAUUGGUAAUGUCCAUGUUAAGAAAGAUUGUGAAGGCUGUGAAAAUUGACAAUGAUGAAUAUGAGUUUAAGAUUGUGAAGGUUGUGUCAA
Long non-coding RNA from Trifolium pratense (red clover), 1621 nucleotides. RefSeq lists it as uncharacterized. NCBI's taxonomy places the organism in Eukaryota, Viridiplantae, Streptophyta, Magnoliopsida, Fabales, Fabaceae. The record is from RefSeq and is a predicted model, not a curated record. The transcript has 8 exons.